Molecule: non-coding RNA, 45 nt
Filed under: Schistosoma mansoni
Lineage: Eukaryota; Metazoa; Platyhelminthes; Trematoda; Strigeidida; Schistosomatidae
Source: RNAcentral
GUCUAUCUGAAGAGUCCCAGAUAGGACUAAACGCGCGUCCAGGAU